This 458-nucleotide ribosomal RNA is filed under the name uncultured bacterium. RNAcentral describes it as "partial 16S ribosomal RNA". It matches the Rfam family "Bacterial small subunit ribosomal RNA", at positions 338 to 795 of the family's 1533-position model. The record is from RNAcentral.
CCUACGGGUGGCAGCAGUGAGGAAUAUUGGUCAAUGGGCGCGAGCCUGAACCAGCCAAGUCGCGUGAGGGAAGACGGUCCUAUGGAUUGUAAACCUCUUUGGUCGGGGAGCAAAAGACGCCACGCGUGGCGUUCCGAGAGUACCCGAAGAAAAAGCAUCGGCUAACUCCGUGCCAGCAGCCGCGGUAAUACGGAGGAUGCGAGCGUUAUCCGGCGUUAUUGGGUUUAAAGGGUGCGCAGGCGGAAGAUCAAGUCAGCGGUAAAUGGAGAGGGUCAAAAUCUUCGAGCCGUUGAAACUGGUUUGCGUGAGUGAGUGAGAAGUAUGCGGAAUGCGUGGUGUAGCGUUGAAAUGCAAAGAUAUCACGCAGAACUCCGAUUGCGAAGGCAGCAUACCGGCGCUCAACUGACGCUCAUGCACGAAAGUGUGGGUAUCGAACAGGAUUAGAUACCCGAGUAGUC